This 462-nucleotide ribosomal RNA is filed under the name uncultured bacterium. RNAcentral's name for it is "partial 16S ribosomal RNA". It matches the Rfam family "Bacterial small subunit ribosomal RNA", at positions 28 to 507 of the family's 1533-position model. The record is from RNAcentral.
GACGAACGCUGGCGGCGUGCUUAACACAUGCAAGUCGAGCGGUAAGGCCUUUCGGGGUACACGAGCGGCGAACGGGUGAGUAACACGUGGGUGAUCUGCCCUGCACUUCGGGAUAAGCCUGGGAAACUGGGUCUAAUACCGGAUAUGGCCUCCUAUCGCAUGGUGGGUGGUGGAAAGAUUUAUCGGUGCAGGAUGGGCCCGCGGCCUAUCAGCUUGUUGGUGGGGUAAUGGCCUACCAAGGCGACGACGGGUAGCCGACCUGAGAGGGUGACCGGCCACACUGGGACUGAGACACGGCCCAGACUCCUACGGGAGGCAGCAGUGGGGAAUAUUGCACAAUGGGCGAAAGCCUGAUGCAGCGACGCCGCGUGAGGGAUGACGGCCUUCGGGUUGUAAACCUCUUUCAGCAGGGACGAAGCGCAAGUGACGGUACCUGCAGAAGAAGCACCGGCUAACUACGUG